Ribosomal RNA from Pteropus vampyrus (large flying fox), 133 nucleotides. The record is from Ensembl. NCBI's taxonomy places the organism in Eukaryota, Metazoa, Chordata, Mammalia, Chiroptera, Pteropodidae.
UCCGGAAGCUGAGAUCACCUGGACAGCAGGUACGAUUAGAAGAGAGAAGAGUCUGAUCUCGGAAGCUAAGCAGGGUUGGGCCUGGUUAGUACUUGGAUGGGAGACCCCCUAGGAAGACCAGGUGCUGUAGGAG